Monodelphis domestica (gray short-tailed opossum) is the source of this 475-nucleotide long non-coding RNA. RefSeq lists it as uncharacterized. The record is from RefSeq and is a predicted model, not a curated record. Lineage: Eukaryota; Metazoa; Chordata; Mammalia; Didelphimorphia; Didelphidae.
UGCCAACUGGAGGUCAAGUGGAAUCUCAAUUACCCAAGAUAAUGAAUAUUUAAUUCGCAUAAAUAAAUGAGUAUUAGUUCAUUUUUUCUACUUCAUUGGUAACUUGAAUGGAGGACAUUAACAGCUGGGAAUGAACAACUGUCAGUUUCCUCAGUACAAUGAACUGGAAAAGGAACCCCAAAUUGGCAUCCUGAAGAGUCAGAGAUGACUGAACAACAACAACCAAUAUAUAAAGUACCUCCAGAUAUCCUCGAUCAAUAAUUUCCUCAAUUCUGGAAAUAUUGGGUACUUUGAAAUAGAACACUAUCUGACUGGUAUGUAUAUGUUAAGUGAAAGUCAGAGGAAAAGAAGACACACUUUUUUACCUAGGCGGAGAGAAAAGUGGCAUGUUAUAGUAACCAAAAGAUGGAAAAAACUGGGCAGAUUAAUAAAAAAUCCUCUUUAAAAUAUAUAUUUGCUUUUUACAAUAAACAUC